GAGCAACAUAGUCAUUUGUGCUUGAUCUAAACAUGGAUUUUUGAGAAAUCAAAACUUGAGUGUGUUUAGUUUUCCCCAAGGACUGAGAUGACAGGUGUCU
This 100-nucleotide microRNA precursor is filed under the name Octodon degus (degu). RNAcentral describes it as "miRNA (ENSODEG00000021734.1)". Lineage: Eukaryota; Metazoa; Chordata; Mammalia; Rodentia; Octodontidae. The record is from RNAcentral.